Molecule: ribosomal RNA, 1737 nt
Filed under: Nocticola sp. 3 ZQW-2023c
Lineage: Eukaryota; Metazoa; Arthropoda; Insecta; Blattodea; Nocticolidae
Description: SSU rRNA
Rfam family: Eukaryotic small subunit ribosomal RNA
Source: RNAcentral
AAGCCAUGCAUGUCUCAGUGCAAGCCGAAGUAGGGCAGGACCGCGAAAAGCUCAUUAAAUCAGUUAUGGUUCCUUGGAUGGAUCCCCCUACUUGGAUAACUGUGGUAAUUCUAGAGCUAAUACAUGCAUUUAAGUCCCGACUGGCGACGGAAGGGACGCUUUUAUUAGAUCAAAACCAAACGGGCCUCGUGCCCGUGAACCUGGUGACUCUGAAUAAAGUGGUGGCGGAUCGCACGGUCCCCGAGCCGGCGACGCAUCUUUCAAAUGUCUGCCUUAUCAACUGUCGAUGGUAGGUUCUGCGCCUACCAUGGUUAUAACGGGUAACGGGGAAUCAGGGUUCGAUUCCGGAGAGGGAGCCUGAGAAACAGCUACCACAUCCAAGGAAGGCAGCAGGCGCGCAAAUUACCCACUCCCGGCACGGGGAGGUAGUGACGAAAAAUAACGAUACGGGACUCAUCCGAGGCCCCGUAAUCGGAAUGAGGGUACUUUAAAACCUUCCACGAGUACCUAUUGGAGGGUAAGUCUGGUGCCAGCAGCCGCGGUAAUUCCAGCUCCAAUAGCGUAUAUUAAAGUUGCUGCGGUUAAAAAGCUCGUAGUCUGAAUUGUGUCCCACGCUGCCGGUUCACCGCCCGUCGGUGUCUAACUGGCACGCAGGUGAGGACGUCCUGUCGGUGGCCCGAGCGGGCGCUUCGGCGGUCAUUUAUGGCCCCGUCGCGUUUCGGGAAGGCCUAAUAAUACCGGAACCGGUGCUCUUAACCGAGUGUCGCUUUCGGCCGACAACUUUACUUUGAACAAAUUAGAGUGCUUAAAGCAGGCAGCAGCCGCCUGAAUGCCGAGUGCAUGGAAUAAUGGAAUAGGACCUCGGUUCUAUUUUGUUGGUUUUCGGAACCCCGAGGUAAUGAUCAAUAGGGACAGACGGGGGCAUUCGUAUUGCGACGUUAGAGGUGAAAUUCUUGGAUCGUCGCAAGACGGACAGAAGCGAAAGCAUUUGCCAAGAAUGUUUUCUCUGAUCAAGAACGAAAGUUAGAGGUUCGAAGGCGAUCAGAUACCGCCCUAGUUCUAACCAUAAACGAUGCCGGUUGGCAUUCCGCCGAAGUUCCUCCGAUGACUCGGCGGGCGGCCUACGGGAAACCAAAGCUUUUGGGUUCCGGGGGAAGUAUGGUUGCAAAGCUGAAACUUAAAGGAAUUGACGGAAGGGCACCACCAGGAGUGGAGCCUGCGGCUUAAUUUGACUCAACACGGCAAACCUGACCAGGCCAGGACACCAGAAGGAUUGACAGAUUGAGAGCUCUUUCUUGAUUAGGUGGGUGGUGGUGCAUGGCCGUUCUUCGUUGGUAGAGUGAUUCGUCUGCUUAAUUGCGAUAACGAACGAGACCAUAUCCUGCUAACUAGUCGCUCCGGUAUCCUCUGUGCUACCGGCGACGUGCAAAUCUUCUUAGAGGGACAGGCGGCUUCCAGCCGCACGAAAUUUGGCAAUAACAGGUCAGUGAUGCCCUUGGAUGUCCUGGGCCGCACGCGCGCUACACUGAAGGAAUCAGCGUGUUUUCCCAGGCCGAAAGGUCCGGGUAACCCACUGAACCUCCUUCGUGCUAGGGAUUGGGGCUUGCAAUUAUUCCCCAUGAACGAGGAAUUCCCAGUAAGCGCGAGUCAUAAGCUCGCGUUGAUUACGUCCCUGCCCUUUGUACACACCGCCCGUCGCUACUACCGAUUGAGUGAUUUAGUGAGGUCUUCGGACCG